GAUGAACGCUGACAGAAUGCUUAACACAUGCAAGUCAACUUGAACUUCGGUUUGGGUGGCGGACGGGUGAGUAACGCGUAAAGAACUUGCCUCACAGCUAGGGACAACAUUUGGAAACGAAUGCUAAUACCUGAUAUUAUGAUUAUAUGGCAUCGUAUAAUUAUGAAAGCUAUAUGCGCUGUGAGAGAGCUUUGCGUCCCAUUAGCUAGUUGGAGAGGUAACAGCUCACCAAGGCGAUGAUGGGUAGCCGGCCUGAGAGGGUGAUCGGCCACAAGGGGACUGAGACACAGCCCUUACUCCUACGGGAGGCAGCAGUGGAGAAUAUUGGACAAUGGACCGAGAGUCUGAUCCAGCAAUUCUGUGUGCACGAUGAAGUUUUUCGGAAUGUAAAGUGCUUUCAGUUGGGAAGAAAAAAAUGACGGUACCAACAGAAGAAGUGACGGCUAAAUACGUG
RNAcentral lists this ribosomal RNA (454 nucleotides) under uncultured bacterium. RNAcentral's name for it is "partial 16S ribosomal RNA". It matches the Rfam family "Bacterial small subunit ribosomal RNA", at positions 28 to 507 of the family's 1533-position model. The record is from RNAcentral.